RNAcentral lists this long non-coding RNA (498 nucleotides) under Capra hircus (goat). RNAcentral's name for it is "lncRNA (ENSCHIG00000001321.1)". The record is from RNAcentral. Lineage: Eukaryota; Metazoa; Chordata; Mammalia; Artiodactyla; Bovidae.
CUUGAAACCCUGAGCCCUGUCCCAGGCAGAUCCAGAGCCCUCACCCCCGACCCUGACCCCUGCUCUGAUGCAAGAAUGGCCUGCUUUCAUACAGACUAAGUGGGCUUGAGCAAUACUUCUGACAUCAUCUGCAGAAAUGGACUUUCCCUUCACUUCAGGUGCACACCCUCCAUCCCUUCUCCCUUCUCAUUAUAUGUAAAUAGUGAUGGACAAGAAUUUGAAGAAACCUGCCCUCCUUGAUUUUUCUCUUUCCAGUUGUCCCCAGUUGUCCUCACCUCGUAGCCCACACCUCAAGCACUGCCAGAUGUCAGGAAUCUGAGAAGUGACCAGCUCUGAACCCCAGUGGCCCAGUGCAAGGGCCUAGAAACCAGACACCACCUGACUUGGAAUCCCUACUCCAGCACUUGGGUGAGCUCCCAUAUUUCUGAGUCUUAAUACUCUAAUUUGCAAAAUAAGACUCGUACCCUGGAAAAUCUUGAACAAUAGCAUAGGGUGGUU